UCCGGCUUAUCACCGGCAGUCCCCCUAGAGUGCCCAACUGAAUGAUGGCAACUAAGGGCGAGGGUUGCGCUCGUUGCGGGACUUAACCCAACAUCUCACGACACGAGCUGACGACAGCCAUGCACCACCUGUAUACCGACCACAAGGGGGGCCGUAUCUCUACGGCUUUCCGGUAUAUGUCAAACCCAGGUAAGGUGGGGAUGACGUUUCCAGGUUAGG
Molecule: unclassified non-coding RNA, 219 nt
Filed under: uncultured bacterium
Lineage: Bacteria
Description: contains 16S-23S intergenic spacer region
Source: RNAcentral